RNAcentral lists this microRNA precursor (124 nucleotides) under Microtus ochrogaster (prairie vole). RNAcentral's name for it is "microRNA 486 (ENSMOCG00000009617.1)". The stretch from base 30 to 96 matches the Rfam family "mir-486 microRNA precursor family". The record is from RNAcentral. Lineage: Eukaryota; Metazoa; Chordata; Mammalia; Rodentia; Cricetidae.
CAGCCAGCUCUGACGUUACCCUCCCUGAGGGGUCCUGUACUGAGCUGCCCCGAGGCCCUCAUUGUGCUCAGCUCGGUGCAGCUCAGUACAAGACGCAUCGGGGUGGGAGACAGCGGGGAGCAAG